AUGGCUUGAGACUGCUGAUUUCUGGUGAAAAGGACCACAAUUUUUUUUUUUAAAGCAAAAGAUCAGAGGAUUUUCGGAUAUUGGCUCCAAUCUUGCUUCUCCAGCAAUGGCCCUCCUAUACCAGGACAGCUCUAGUUCACAGGGUUGUCAUAUGUGGGGAGGGAAUUCACAGGUUCUCCUCACCACUCCCUCCCCGAGAACUAAAUUUAAAAAAAUCAGUCCUCCUUAGUAUUUGAGGGGACCAUUCCAUUAGGCUUUUCCUUGUUUCCUUAUUGGGCUCAUCAGUCAUUCAAUUUUACCGAAUAGUUGAGAACAAGCAUUUCUCCCAUCUUAUUUCUUCAUCCCUCUCCUUUUCUGAGGAGCUGGGCUGUACUCUUGCCACAGCGCGAGUCCAAAACAAAACCUCCCUCCUCCCUCUAGAAAUCAAGCAAAAAGCCCCGGCAUCUGAAAUAUUCCUAUCCUUGGAGUGGACCCGCUUCUCUCCACACUUGUAGUACUUGGCAAACAGAAGCAGUGGCUGCCUCGGCAGCACAGGCAUCCCGUACGUCCUGUCCAGCCCAGUUUACACCGUGGCGCGGAGGGAAAAUCCACCGAGGUUGCGAUCCAAAAGAGCCACCCAAGUCCAGCAUCAAGACAGAAGUAAGGAUGAUUGCCGAUGGCCUGGGAUGCAGUGAAUGACCUUUGAGUCUCUGAAAGACUGACCAAGCUCUCAGUGCUCUGUAGUGCCUGCUUCAGCCACCUUCAUGCCUAUUGGAAUGAGCUGUUCUCAUCGGAUCAUCCCUCCAGGGGGAAGUCUUCACAUGCUUGGGGUAGACUUUUCCCUAACUCACCCAGGGGUUUGAGGCUGGUUGUUUACCCUCAACCUGGUUUAGCCCAUCUGCAGGGAUGCUUUUACCAGGGUGUGGCCAUCGUCCAUGCUGCAGUUUCUUGGAGCCACAGGUGAGAAUUAGGUGAAAGAUGGACACGGAAGGUGGUUGGGCACUUAAGCAUUCAUUAAGUGUCAGGAUGUGAAUUCAGGACUGCCAGACCCCAAGUCCAGCACACUUUCCACUACUUGGAGUUGUCUAAUUCCUUUCCUCUGGGCCACUGCAGAGAGUAGGGGUUCUAGGAAUGUCUGUUGUUGAUGUUGUUUGCUGUUGCUGACUAAGCUGAAGGGAAAGGAUUAGGAGCCAGAAAAUGCCCAUUUUUGUACUUUGUGCCACGUUGCAGUAGCAAAGGAGAAUCAGACGAUGGGGAAUAUGGUUUUUUCUUCAGUGCAACCUUGGAAUAGUCUGAGUUAUGCCCCAGUUGGAGGAAAUACCCUAGAAAGGAAACUGUUAAAAAAUGAAUGUAAAUCACAAUAGCUCCAGGGACAGUUUAAUAACGAUCUAACUUUUAUUGGGAGAGCAAGAGACAUGGCAGCUUUUUCCUUACAGAAUUUUUCAAAUUUUUCCCAGAAGGGAGAUGCUAUCAGAAUCACUAAGAUAACUCCUUAGAGCAAAGAGCUAAAUCCAACCAAGUAAACUCAUUUUCCCUUAUGCUCCAGGGUUUUAUUUUACCAAAAUUCAUGGGAAGAAGAGUAAAAAAUAAAAACAAAGAAAACCUUUUCA
Long non-coding RNA from Monodelphis domestica (gray short-tailed opossum), 1589 nucleotides. Lineage: Eukaryota; Metazoa; Chordata; Mammalia; Didelphimorphia; Didelphidae. The record is from Ensembl.